This 211-nucleotide unclassified non-coding RNA is filed under the name Hevea brasiliensis (rubber tree). The record is from RNAcentral. Lineage: Eukaryota; Viridiplantae; Streptophyta; Magnoliopsida; Malpighiales; Euphorbiaceae.
GGGCCUGAUCGCGUUACAGAAUUCUGCAAGAGAAACAAAUUACAGCUCAUAAUAAGAGCCCACGAAUGUGUCAUGGACGGAUUUGAACGGUUUGCUCAGGGACAAUUAAUCACUUUAUUCUCUGCCACUAACUAUUGUGGAACUGCAAACAAUGCUGGUGCCAUAUUGGUUAUUGGGAGGGGUCUGGUCGUGGUCCCAAAGUUGAUCCAUC